Molecule: non-coding RNA, 24 nt
Filed under: Arabidopsis thaliana (thale cress)
Lineage: Eukaryota; Viridiplantae; Streptophyta; Magnoliopsida; Brassicales; Brassicaceae
Source: RNAcentral
AGGAGAUCUCUAAACCGCCCGAGC